This is a non-coding RNA of Camellia sinensis, 392 nucleotides long. The record is from RefSeq and is a predicted model, not a curated record. NCBI's taxonomy places the organism in Eukaryota, Viridiplantae, Streptophyta, Magnoliopsida, Ericales, Theaceae.
AAGAUCAUCUUCAAAAGUAUAUAUCGACACGCUAUACUACAUCCAGAAUGGUAAUUUUUGCUUCUGGAGUGUGAAGCAUGAGGACCUUGUUGAGCAAGUGAAGAAGUUGUUUACCAAAUUGUCAUCGGAUCCAACCACGACUUCUGAAUUAGUUGCCAAAGGGCCAGCAAUUUUUUCAGAAUUUUUUGUGUUAAAAUCCUUUGGUUUUUUAUUUCUCUUAUUUUUUCUUUUUUUCCUCGGAUCUGACAGUGGGUGUUUUGGUUCACUCCUUAUUUUUUGUAUUAAAUGGGGGAGUGGUGAGAGAGAGAGGAGGGUAAUGUUAUUUUGUGGCUUUGUAUAUAAGGUAGUAAUUUUUUGAUUGAGAAUUGUGAAUUCAAUUUUUGAAUAUGUUA